This 24-nucleotide non-coding RNA is filed under the name Cricetulus griseus (Chinese hamster). The record is from RNAcentral. Lineage: Eukaryota; Metazoa; Chordata; Mammalia; Rodentia; Cricetidae.
CCCCACCGUCAGCACCCAAAGCUG